CCUUAUAGUGGAAGCGGAUGGAGCGACGUAUCCAGUGCGUAUUCAGCCGUUCGCGGAUGCAAUUUUGUUUGGGCAGUUCUGCAAAUCCUGCUCCGGCGAAUUGUUGUGUUCGUGGGCGGUGCAUUUGCKUACAGAGUGCGCCGAAUCGGUUGAUGGCGUCGUUYGAAGKCGCGGAAGAGGACUMRCUUGCUAGAACCCUGCCGCGUCGGACGGCGAAUGYUGUUAAUUGUUUUGGARUCUAUUACGAUCGUCAGCAGUGACUUGAGUUGUUUAUGUUUAGUGCUUGCAUUACGCAUCUAUGAUUUAGGUCGUUGUUGGCGAUUGCCCGACUCUCAUUCGGUGUCUAGUCGGUCACCCAUUCGACCCGUCUUGAAACACGGACCAAGGAGUUUAAAGUGUACGCACGUCAUUGAGUGGAAAACUCAGAGGCGUAAUGAAAGUGGGACACUCAGUGUCUGCAAUGUGACGAGCGGGAUUUUCGAAUCACACUCAGCAACAUUGCCCCAUGGCGAGAAUUCAUUCUGUUGUGGAGUCCGAGCGUACUCUUUGAGACCCGAAAGAUGGUGAACUAUGCCCGAACAGGACGAAGUCAGACGAAAGUCCGAUGGAAGUCCGUAGCGGUUCUGACGUGCAAAUCGAUU
This 641-nucleotide ribosomal RNA is filed under the name Aphelenchoides sp. Ap111. Its description in RNAcentral is "eukaryotic LSU rRNA". It matches the Rfam family "Eukaryotic large subunit ribosomal RNA", at positions 406 to 903 of the family's 3401-position model. Lineage: Eukaryota; Metazoa; Nematoda; Chromadorea; Rhabditida; Aphelenchoididae. The record is from RNAcentral.